This 482-nucleotide ribosomal RNA is filed under the name Metaphire abdita. RNAcentral describes it as "partial 16S ribosomal RNA". It matches the Rfam family "Bacterial large subunit ribosomal RNA", at positions 1852 to 2621 of the family's 2925-position model. Lineage: Eukaryota; Metazoa; Annelida; Clitellata; Crassiclitellata; Megascolecidae. The record is from RNAcentral.
AUAAUACCUGCCCAGUGACAUUUGUUCAACGGCCGCGGUAUCCUAACCGUGCAAAGGUAGCAUAAUCAUUUGCCUAUUAAUUGUAGGCUAGAAUGAACGGGUUAACGAAAUAAAAGCUGUCUCAAUUAAUCAACUAAAAAUUAUUUUUUGUCCGAAGAAAGGCAGAUAAACUCGAAGGACAAGAAGACCCUAUAGAGCUUAAUUUAAAAUAUAGAACUAUGCUAUAGCAAUAUUCGGUUGGGGCGACCCAGGGCUAAUAAAUCACCCAUUAAAUAAAAGAUAAAUUAAUCCACCAAAUGACCCUUAAAGAUCAUAAGAACAAGCUACCUUAGGGAUAACAGGCUAAUCCCACUUAAGAGUCCUUAUCAACAGUGGGGUUUGGCACCUCGAUGUUGGCUUAGGGUAUCCCUAUAGCGCAAAAGUUAUAUAAAGAUGGUUUGUUCAACCAAUAAUCCCCUACGUGAUCUGAGUUCAGACCGGAU